GAAAUGCGAUAAGUUGUGUGAAUUGCAGAAUUCAGUGAAUCAUCGAAUCUUUGAACGCACAUUGCGCCCCUUGGUAUUCCAUGGGGCAUGCCUGUUCGAGCGUCAUUUGUACCCUCAAGCUCUGCUUGGUGUUGGGUGUUUGUCCCGUCUCCGCGCGUGGACUCGCCCCAAAGUGAUUGGCAGCCGGCGUACUGGUCCCGGAGCGCAGCACAUGUCGCGCAAACGAGUGCCUUGGUACGGCGGCGUCCAUAAGCCCCUCUCUCACGCUCUUGACCUCGGAUCAGGUAGGGAUACCCGCUGAACUUAAGC
RNAcentral lists this unclassified non-coding RNA (309 nucleotides) under plant metagenome. RNAcentral's name for it is "partial contains 5.8S ribosomal RNA, internal transcribed spacer 2, and large subunit ribosomal RNA". The stretch from base 1 to 105 matches the Rfam family "5.8S ribosomal RNA", at positions 50 to 154 of the family's 154-position model. The record is from RNAcentral.